RNAcentral lists this ribosomal RNA (529 nucleotides) under uncultured bacterium. RNAcentral describes it as "bacterial SSU rRNA". It matches the Rfam family "Bacterial small subunit ribosomal RNA", at positions 777 to 1304 of the family's 1533-position model. The record is from RNAcentral.
AAUAGAUACCCGGGUAGUCCAUGCCGUAAACGAUGAGUGCUAAGUGUUAGGGGGUUUCCGCCCCUUAGUGCUGUAGCUAACGCAUUAAGCACUCCGCCUGGGGAGUACGACCGCAAGGUUGAAACUCAAAGGAAUUGACGGGGGCCCGCACAAGCGGUGGAGCAUGUGGUUUAAUUCGAAGCAACGCGAAGAACCUUACCAGGUCUUGACAUCCCAGUGACCACUCUAGAGAUAGAGUUUUCCCUUCGGGGACAUUGGUGACAGGUGGUGCAUGGUUGUCGUCAGCUCGUGUCGUGAGAUGUUGGGUUAAGUCCCGCAACGAGCGCAACCCUUAAUCUUAGUUGCCAUCAUUUAGUUGGGCACUCUAAGGUGACUGCCGGUGACAAACCGGAGGAAGGUGGGGAUGACGUCAAAUCAUCAUGCCCCUUAUGACCUGGGCUACACACGUGCUACAAUGGACGGUACAAAGAGUCGCUAACUCGCGAGAGCACGCUAAUCUCAUAAAACCGUUCUCAGCUCGGAUUGUAGG